UGCAAAGACCCAGAUAAUGUGCCAUCACGCUCAGCCACUCUUCUGCGUGUAGCCUGGGCCCGCGUGGUUCUAGAUGAAGCUCACAACAUCAAAAAUCCAAAAGUGCAGACGUCCAUGGCGGUCUGCCAGCUGAGGGCCCACGCUCGCUGGGCUGUCACGGGCACACCCAUCCAGAACAACCUGCUGGACAUGUACUCGCUGCUCAAGUUUCUGCGUUGUUCUCCAUUCGAUGAAUACAAACUCUGGAA
Long non-coding RNA from Nematolebias whitei (Rio pearlfish), 248 nucleotides. RefSeq lists it as uncharacterized. The record is from RefSeq and is a predicted model, not a curated record. The transcript has 3 exons. NCBI's taxonomy places the organism in Eukaryota, Metazoa, Chordata, Actinopteri, Cyprinodontiformes, Rivulidae.